GUUUUGCUUUCUCCUUUUUCAUACGUUUUCAUUCUUCCAGGGCUUUUAAUCGUGUCGCACGUUCUCCCUUUUAUGUCUUUCGUUUUCCUUCGAUCGGUUGUCAAGAUAUGCGAAGCCCGUUACAGGUCGUGUGAGCAGAACUGAAGCAGAGCACGAACGAGGCGAAGCAGAUGAGACUGACCAGGUUGAUCCAUUGGUGGAAUGAUCUGGGAUUUAGGGUGUUGCUUUGCAUCACCUGAGAGAGGACGAUCCAAUCCAAGUUGGAUGCAUUUUGGUUGAAAACCAGAUUUUGUGUAUCCCCUUUUUAAUCCUAAUUGAUGGUUUUGGUUCGGUCACUUUUCAUCGAAGCUGAUAGAGAAUUGGGGCUUUGAUGUCGAGGGGAUAUUGCAGUGUGUAAUUGAAGUUGGACAUGUUAAAUCAGCUCUUUCUGUAAGAGAUAAGCUUGAAUCACUGUGUACAACUAGGAGAUUGGCUAGGAUGAAAUUAAAAAGGGAUUUGUUGAAUAUCGAGCUAAGCUACAGGUUGAGUUUCAAAAGAAAGUUUCAGAUAUAAGACUAUUAUUCAAUUUGAUAAAUGCAGCUGCAAAAUUAUCCUUUUAUCUGAUUCUCACAUGAUGCAUUCUCUCAUUUCUCUUCAUGCUUUACCAAGAAUACAAAGUAACAAAGAUUUUGGAGCUUAUAAUGUCAAGCAGCUUGAACAAGAGAUUGAAGGAAAAAUCCAGUGCUUGAAAACAGAGGCUCCAAUAAUAUCGAAUGAUGUGUUAGAGGACAAAUGUGUUGUCCUUGAAAGCAAGGUAUGAUGAUAUUGACAUUGCAUGUUUUGUUUGGCGUUUGCAAACUCAAACUGUCAAUUUUAAAAAAGCUUUUUUCUAAUAGCUAUUAAAAUAAUAUUGCUAUUAUUUCUGCCUUGGCUUUUGUGUGGGUUGAAGUAUCCUUGAAUAUAUAGGUCCAUCAUUCUUGGUUAAGAAAAUAAAUCAAUUUUGUUCUUGAGAUUGUCAAUGGAACAAGAAAGAAGCUUAAUGGAAGAAGAGAGUAGCUGCCCUUGAAAGAAAGGUAUGGUCAUAUUGACAUGCAUGUUUGUUUGGCGUUUGCAAAGCCCCAAAUCAUGGUUUGAAAAAAAUGUGUUUCUCAUAACUUUUAUAUUUAUGGCAGUGUUUCUUCUUGCCUUUGUGACGGUUGGAUUAUCCUUGAAUAGACUAGGUUAUAUUUCCUUCAUUCUUGGUUAAGAGAAUAUAUGUCAAUUAUGUUCUCAGGUGGUGAUUGUCACAAGAAAGAAGCUGAAUGGAAGAAGAGAUAAUCUGCAUUGCAUCUUGAAGUUAAGAACCUCACUGGGGUAUCCUUUAUGUUUUCUAUGAAGGAUGCCUGGCGUUUGAUUGUAGUCAAUCUGUAGUUUUCCUAAAUUAGAACUAGAUUCACCUCUGGUGAUCCAUGCCUUUCUCCGAUUCAAUGAGGAAUAUGUUGAUGUCUUAGCUGCAUCCUACCUUUCGGUUAGACCUGACUGAGAGAGAGAGGAAUAUUGUUGAGGUGGUUGUGACAAAAGAAGAAAUGGAGAUGUUUGGUGAUCUACUACCUCUCACCAUUUUACAGUGCUAGAGACCAUGUUAAUAACAAAAGCAAGGGUCAUGUUCCAGGUAAGUAGGACUGCGCCAUAUAUAUGCUUAUUGUAAGUAUCAAGCAUCAAGGGUUAGUUCAUUAAGCACAUUAUAAAUAUUAAUUUUGAGUUUAGUGUUUUAUUGCUUUUACUGCAAACUGAUGAUGAUUCUGUAAUUUUGGUUAAAAUUAUAUGUAUAACUUAUUUAUAUGCUCUCCUCAUGGAUAUCUCUUGCCAUUGAGAUCUUGACAAGGAAAAUCUUCUGGCCUACAUUAGACGGCAGUCUUUCCUCAUUUAAGUAUGAGAAAAGACAUACAAAGUAUAGGAGCAGAUCUCAUGCUGGAAGAGGAAAAAAGUUGGUUAUGAAAUCAGAUAGGUCUCAACAAGUAAGGUUGGAUGUGCUAGCCGCGAGUCUUCUGCAUAUUUUUCUAAUGCAAACCAAGGACCUGAAAUAUAAUGAGUGAUGCUUGUGAUGAGCUUAGAGCCAAAAUUCAAGCCAUGUUGGUGGCUAACUUAUAAAAGCUGCAUAGGGUUGCCCACUCUAUUGUAUUUCCUCUUUAUCCGAGAUUUGUUCUUGGAACCUAUUUCUGCUAAUAACCUUCUUCUGUCAAUUAGCAUCUAACUUUGCACACUUUUACUCCUCAUUUUUUAUCCUUCAAUCUGACAACAAUCCUUUAUUUUCAAUCAUCAUGCAUUUUAUUGUCAUCGCUUGAAAUUUACCACUUCUCCAGCCCAAUGCAGCAUCUAAUGACUGAACUGUUGACAUUAAAUCUGAGGUUGCGGUAUGUUUACAUAUAAAAUAAGCCAUAAGGCAGU
Long non-coding RNA from Lotus japonicus, 2406 nucleotides. RefSeq lists it as uncharacterized. The transcript is spliced from 4 exons. The record is from RefSeq and is a predicted model, not a curated record. Lineage: Eukaryota; Viridiplantae; Streptophyta; Magnoliopsida; Fabales; Fabaceae.